This 496-nucleotide ribosomal RNA is filed under the name uncultured bacterium. Its description in RNAcentral is "partial 16S ribosomal RNA". It matches the Rfam family "Bacterial small subunit ribosomal RNA", at positions 28 to 506 of the family's 1533-position model. The record is from RNAcentral.
GAUGAACGCUGGCGGCGUGCCUAAUACAUGCAAGUCGAGCGAACAGACGAGGAGCUUGCUCCUCUGACGUUAGCGGCGGACGGGUGAGUAACACGUGGAUAACCUACCUAUAAGACUGGGAUAACUUCGGGAAACCGGAGCUAAUACCGGAUAAUAUAUUGAACCGCAUGGUUCAAUAGUGAAAGACGGUUUUGCUGUCACUUAUAAAUGGAUCCGCGCCGCAUUAGCUAGUUGGUAAGGUAACGGCUUACCAAGGCAACGAUGCGUAGCCGACCUGAGAGGGUGAUCGGCCACACUGGAACUGAGACACGGUCCAGACUCCUACGGGAGGCAGCAGUAGGGAAUCUUCCGCAGUGGGCGAAAGCCUGACGGAGCAACGCCGCGUGAGUGAUGAAGGUCUUCGGAUCGUAAAACUCUGUUAUUAGGGAAGAACAAAUGUGUAAGUAACUAUGCACGUCUUGACGGUACCUAAGCAGAAAGCCACGGCUAACUACGU